RNAcentral lists this ribosomal RNA (301 nucleotides) under uncultured bacterium. RNAcentral describes it as "partial 16S ribosomal RNA". It matches the Rfam family "Bacterial small subunit ribosomal RNA", at positions 509 to 807 of the family's 1533-position model. The record is from RNAcentral.
CAGCAGCCGCGGUAAUACAGAGGGUGCGAGCGUUAAUCGGAUUUACUGGGCGUAAAGCGUGCGUAGGCGGCUUCUUAAGUCGGAUGUGAAAUCCCUGAGCUUAACUUAGGAAUUGCAUUCGAUACUGGGAAGCUAGAGUAUGGGAGAGGAAGGUAGAAUUCCAGGUGUAGCGGUGAAAUGCGUAGAGAUCUGGAGGAAUACCGAUGGCGAAGGCAGCCAUCUGGCCUAAUACUGACGCUGAGGUACGAAAGCAUGGGGAGCAAACAGGAUUAGAUACCCCAGUAGUCCCUGUCUCUUAUAC